UGAGAGGACUAGGAAGUUUCAACAGAGACAUGCCAGUAUAAAGGGGACUGUGGGGACUAUGUGAUGGGAGCAAGGAAUAUAACUCCUCUGAUUUAACUCUCUCCAUUCCCUUAAUGGGAGAGCUUCUCAUGGUUGAACCUAACUGAAAGAUAGUCAGGAAGGGAUUGGAUUUGGAGAUCACCACGAGGAAGGGUGGAGGACUAGUGGAAGAUAUCUGAAUCUGUGGCAGCUAUAGACAUGACGGCUACGCUUGUUUCAGACAGAACAGCCAGCCCCUUGCUGAGGAAAAAGGGCCUGUGCAGGAUAUCAGCAGACCUUCAUUCUCCUUUUGCUCUGGCAUGAGCUAGCCAUGGCAAUUGAAACACUAAGACAAGACACAUGGGGAAAGAUACUUCAGCUACAAUGUUUAAUUAAGAAGGUCAAAUUUCCAGUUUGAAAUGAAGCAUGUCCAUUAUGCAUCUACAUUUUCAUCAUCACUUGCAUUAGCAGGAAGAAAGAGAGACAAUUAAGCCCCUUCAAAUGUUUGAGCACAUGAAGAGACCAGGGAAAUGGCUGAUGCUCUGCCAAAGAUAAUUUCAGGAAAAAGAAAUUUAACAGAAAACAAAUAGACAAAGGGUGUGAGAAACAACAUACAGAAAAAUGAAUCCAAAUGACCAACAAAUGCUUGAAAUUUUUCACACUUAGUCAAUGCAAGUACAAUAAGAUAUUACUUUAUAUCCUGUGCACUGUCAAUAAUAAAGUAACAUUAUCACUGAAGACAGGUAUUCACACAAAAAAUCUCCAGAGGUGAAAUUCAGGAAACUGUGUUUUAACAAACUUUCCAGAUGAUUCCAAAAUACACAAAACUUUGAGAACCACUGCUGUCGUAUAGGCCUAUAGAUUGCUUCAGGCCUUUUGGAAAGCAAAUUGACAAAACCUAAUGCAUUUUUAAAUGUUAUAAAAGGCUGGGUGCGGUGGCUCAUGCCCAUAAUCCCAGCACUUUGGG
Molecule: long non-coding RNA, 985 nt
Organism: Macaca mulatta (Rhesus monkey)
Lineage: Eukaryota; Metazoa; Chordata; Mammalia; Primates; Cercopithecidae
Source: RefSeq, a predicted model, not a curated record